ACUCAAAUGAAUAGACGGGGGCCCGCACAAGCGGUGGAGCAUGUGGUUUAAUUCGAUGCAACGCGAAGAACCUUACCUACUCUUGCAUCUUCGGAAUUUCUCAGAGAUGAGGAAGUGCCUUCGGGAACCGAAAGACAGGUGCUGCAUGGCUGUCGUCAGCUCGUGUCGUGAGAUGUUGGGUUAAGUCCCGUAACGAGCGCAACCCUUAUCCUUAGUUACUAACAAGUAAAGUUGAGGACUCUAAGGAGACUGCCAGUGACAAACUGGAGGAAGGCGGGGACGACGUCAAGUCAUCAUGGCUUUUACGAGUAGGGCUACACACGUGCUACAAUGGUCGGUACAAAGGGCAGCGAAGUCGCGAGAUGGAGCGAAUCCUAAAAAGCCGAUCUCAGUCCGGAUUGGAGUCUGCAACUCGACUCCAUGAAGCUGGAAUCGCUAGUAAUCGUAGAUCAGAACGCUACGGUGAAUACGUUCCCGGGCCUUGUACACACCGCCCGU
Molecule: ribosomal RNA, 498 nt
Filed under: uncultured bacterium
Lineage: Bacteria
Description: partial 16S ribosomal RNA
Rfam family: Bacterial small subunit ribosomal RNA
Source: RNAcentral